UACGAAGGGUGCAAGCGUUAGUCGGAAUUACUGGGCGUAAAGCGUGCGUAGGCGGUCUCUUAAGUCCGUUGUGAAAGCCCUGGGCUCAACCUGGGAACUGCAGUGGAUACUGAGAAGCUAGAGUGUGUCAGAGGAUGGUGGAAUUCCCGGUGUAGCGGUGAAAUGCGUAGAUAUCAGGAGGAAUACCGAUGGCGAAGGCAGGUCUCUGGGCUGACACUGACGCUCAUGCACGAAAGCGUGGGAGCGAACGGG
RNAcentral lists this ribosomal RNA (252 nucleotides) under uncultured bacterium. RNAcentral describes it as "partial 16S ribosomal RNA". It matches the Rfam family "Bacterial small subunit ribosomal RNA", at positions 524 to 776 of the family's 1533-position model. The record is from RNAcentral.